CCCUUAGAUGUUCUGGGCCGCACGCGCGCUACACUGACGAUGGCAACGAGUUUUUCCUUCGCCGAAAGGUGUGGGUAAUCUUUUGAAACAUCGUCGUGCUGGGGAUAGAUCAUUGCAAUUUUUGAUCUUGAACGAGGAAUUCCUAGUAAGCGAGAGUCAUCAGCUCGCGUUGAUUACGUCCCUGCCCUUUGUACACACCGCCCGUCGCUACUACCGAUUGAAUGGUUUAGUGAGGACUCCUGAUUGGCGCCGCCGCCCCGGCAACGGAGCAGCGGACUGCCGAAAAGUUGUUCAAACUUGAUCAUUUAGAGGAAGUAAAAGUCGUAACA
Molecule: ribosomal RNA, 329 nt
Filed under: uncultured eukaryote
Lineage: Eukaryota
Description: partial 18S ribosomal RNA
Rfam family: Eukaryotic small subunit ribosomal RNA
Source: RNAcentral